Molecule: ribosomal RNA, 429 nt
Filed under: Chloroflexota bacterium
Lineage: Bacteria; Bacillati; Chloroflexota
Description: Chloroflexi bacterium partial 16S ribosomal RNA
Rfam family: Bacterial small subunit ribosomal RNA
Source: RNAcentral
UGGGGAAUAUUGCACAAUGGGCGCAAGCCUGAUGCAGCCAUGCCGCGUGUGUGAAGAAGGCCUUCGGGUUGUAAAGCACUUUCAGCGGGGAGGAAGGCGAUAAGGUUAAUAACCUUGUCGAUUGACGUUACCCGCAGAAGAAGCACCGGCUAACUCCGUGCCAGCAGCCGCGGUAAUACGGAGGGUGCAAGCGUGAAUCGGAAUUACUGGGCGUAAAGCGAACGCAGGCGGUCUGUCAAGUCGGAUGUGAAAUCCCCGGGCUCAACCUGGGAACUGCAUUCGAAACUGGCAGGCUAGAGUCUUGUAGAGGGGGGUAGAAUUCCAGGUGUAGCGGUGAAAUGCGUAGAGAUCUGGAGGAAUACCGGUGGCGAAGGCGGCCCCCUGGACAAAGACUGACGCUCAGGUGCGAAAGCGUGGGGAGCAAACAGG